RNAcentral lists this ribosomal RNA (403 nucleotides) under Verrucomicrobiota bacterium. RNAcentral's name for it is "Verrucomicrobia bacterium partial 16S ribosomal RNA". It matches the Rfam family "Bacterial small subunit ribosomal RNA", at positions 355 to 776 of the family's 1533-position model. Lineage: Bacteria; Pseudomonadati; Verrucomicrobiota. The record is from RNAcentral.
UGGGGAAUAUUGCACAAUGGGGGAAACCCUGAUGCAGCGACGCCGCGUGAGCGAAGAAGGCUUUCGAGUCGUAAAGCUCUGUCCUAUGAGAAGAUAAUGACGGUAUCAUAGGAGGAAGCCCUGGCUAAAUACGUGCCAGCAGCCGCGGUAAUACGUAUGGGGCGAGCGUUGUCCGGAAUUAUUGGGCGUAAAGGGUACGUAGGCGGUUUUUUAAGUCAGGUGUCAAAGUGUGGAGCUUAACUCCAUUAAGCACUUGAAACUGAAAGACUUGAGUGAAGGAGAGGAAAGUGGAAUUCCUAGUGUAGCGGUGAAAUGCGUAGAUAUUAGGAGGAAUACCGGUGGCGAAGGCGACUUACUGGGCUCAUUCUGACGCUGAGGAACGAAAGCGUGGGUAGCAAACAGG